Molecule: ribosomal RNA, 301 nt
Filed under: uncultured bacterium
Lineage: Bacteria
Description: partial 16S ribosomal RNA
Rfam family: Bacterial small subunit ribosomal RNA
Source: RNAcentral
CAGCAGCCGCGGGAAAACAGAGGGUGCGAGCGUUAAUCGGAUUUACUGGGCGUAAAGCGUGCGUAGGCGGCUUUUUAAGUCGGAUGUGAAAUCCCUGAGCUUAACUUAGGAAUUGCAUUCGAUACUGGGAAGCUAGAGUAUGGGAGAGGAUGGUAGAAUUCCAGGUGUAGCGGUGAAAUGCGUAGAUAUCUGGAAGAAUACCGAUGGCGAAGGCAGCCAACUGGCCUAAUACUGACGCUGAGGUACGAAAGCAUGGGGAGCAAACAGGAUUAGAUACCCCAGUAGUCCCUGUCUCUUAUAC